Molecule: ribosomal RNA, 460 nt
Filed under: uncultured bacterium
Lineage: Bacteria
Description: partial 16S ribosomal RNA
Rfam family: Bacterial small subunit ribosomal RNA
Source: RNAcentral
CCUACGGGAGGCAGCAGUGAGGAAUAUUGGUCAAUGGACGAGAGUCUGAACCAGCCAAGUAGCGUGAAGGAUGACUGCCCUAUGGGUUGUAAACUUCUUUUAUAUGGGAAUAAAAUGUUCCACGUGUGGGAUUUUGUAUGUACCAUAUGAAUAAGGAUCGGCUAACUCCGUGCCAGCAGCCGCGGUAAUACGGAGGAUCCGAGCGUUAUCCGGAUUUAUUGGGUGUAAAGGGAGCGUAGGUGGAUUGUUAAGUCAGUUGUGAAAGUUUGCGGCUCAACCGUAAAAUUGCAGUUGAAACUGGCAGUCUUGAGUACAGUAGAGGUGGGCGGAAGUCGUGGUGUAGCGGUGAAAUGCUUAGAUAUCACGAAGAACUCCGAUUGCGAAGGCAGUUCACUGGACUGCAACUGACACUGAGGCUCGAAAGUGUGGGUAUCAAACAGGAUUAGAUACCCUUGUAGUC